RNAcentral lists this ribosomal RNA (544 nucleotides) under uncultured bacterium. RNAcentral's name for it is "bacterial SSU rRNA". It matches the Rfam family "Bacterial small subunit ribosomal RNA", at positions 353 to 889 of the family's 1533-position model. The record is from RNAcentral.
AGUGGGGAAUUUUGGACAAUGGGGGCAACCCUGAUCCAGCCAUUCCGCGUGAGUGAAGAAGGCCUUCGGGUUGUAAAGCUCUUUUGUCCGGAACGAAACGGUUAGGGUGAAUACCCCUGACUACUGACGGUACCGGAAGAAUAAGCACCGGCUAACUACGUGCCAGCAGCCGCGGUAAUACGUAGGGUGCAAGCGUUAAUCGGAAUUACUGGGCGUAAAGCGUGCGCAGGCGGUUUUGUAAGCCAGAUGUGAAAUCCCCGGGCUUAACCUGGGAAUGGCAUUUGGGACUGCAAGGCUUGAGUUUGGCAGAGGAGACUGGAAUUCCUGGUGUAGCAGUGAAAUGCGUAGAUAUCAGGAGGAAUACCGAUGGCGAAGGCAGGUCUCUGGGCUGAAACUGACGCUCAUGCACGAAAGCGUGGGGAGCAAACAGGAUUAGAUACCCUGGUAGUCCACGCCCUAAACGAUGUCGACUGGUUGUUGGGGGUUUGACACUCUCAGUAACGAAGCUAACGCGUGAAGUCGACCGCCUGGGGAGUACGGCCGC